GGUGAGGUGGCCGAGUGGACGAAGGCGCAGCUCUGGAGAAGCUGUAGGGGAGCAAUCCCCUCGAGGGUUCGAAUCCCUCCCUCACCGCCA
The sequence is a transfer RNA, 90 nucleotides long. It matches the Rfam family "tRNA". From Rfam's summary of the family: Transfer RNA (tRNA) molecules are approximately 80 nucleotides in length. Their secondary structure includes four short double-helical elements and three loops (D, anti-codon, and T loops). Further hydrogen bonds mediate the characteristic L-shaped molecular structure. tRNAs have two regions of fundamental functional importance: the anti-codon, which is responsible for specific mRNA codon recognition, and the 3' end, to which the tRNAs corresponding amino acid is attached (by aminoacyl-tRNA synthetases). tRNAs cope with the degeneracy of the genetic code in two manners: having more than one tRNA (with a specific anti-codon) for a particular amino acid; and 'wobble' base-pairing, i.e. permitting non-standard base-pairing at the 3rd anti-codon position.